UUCAGCCUCUCUUUCUAGUCUCUUCUCAUUCAGUGGCACAACUGCUUAUAAUUUGCUUUCCAAGCCAAAAACACACAGAUAUCUUCAAGUUAUAACAUCAUCCCAAAGCUUUAGGGAUGAAGAAGGAAAUCCGUCGAACAUAGUGGAUGCAAACCUAGGUGUGUUGAGAUCAAGAAUGGAGAAAGUGAUGAAGAAUGAGAAGUUGGAAAAAACACCCAAAAGAAUGAUAGAUAUUGUCGGGAAACGUAACAACUCGAAAUCAGGUGAUAAGAAUACCAUGAUCAUGGCAACCAUGGAGGUUGUGGGUUCGGUCGUUCGUUCAUUUGGUCUCGUCUUUCUCUUUGGUUCCCUUUCAAUCAUUAUUGUUUCUCUUCUUGUUCAUUUGUGUACAUUGUGAACGUAUGUGGACCUUCAUCAACCUACUCUUUAAAAGAAUCAACAUGAUCUUUAAUAAAAUGAUAUUUCAAA
Molecule: long non-coding RNA, 468 nt
Organism: Cynara cardunculus var. scolymus (artichoke)
Lineage: Eukaryota; Viridiplantae; Streptophyta; Magnoliopsida; Asterales; Asteraceae
Exons: 2
Source: RefSeq, a predicted model, not a curated record